AGCGAACGCUGGCGGCAGGCCUAACACAUGCAAGUCGAACGAACCUUUCGGGGUUAGUGGCGGACGGGUGAGUAACACGUGGGAACGUGCCUUUAGGUUCGGAAUAACUCAGGGAAACUUGUGCUAAUACCGAAUGUGCUCUUCGGGGGAAAGAUUUAUCGCCUUUAGAGCGGCCCGCGUCUGAUUAGCUAGUUGGUUGAGGUAAUGGCUCACCAAGGCGACGAUCAGUAGCUGGUCUGAGAUGAUGAUCAGCCACAUUGGGACUGAGACACGGCCCAAACUCCUACGGGAGGCAGCAGUGGGGAAUCUUGCGCAAUGGGCGAAAGCCUGACGCAGCCAUGCCGCGUGAAUGAUGAAGGUCUUAGGAUUGUAAAAUUCUUUCACCGGGGACGAUAAUGACGGUACCCGGAGAAGAAGCCCCGGCUAACUUCGUG
RNAcentral lists this ribosomal RNA (434 nucleotides) under uncultured bacterium. Its description in RNAcentral is "partial 16S ribosomal RNA". It matches the Rfam family "Bacterial small subunit ribosomal RNA", at positions 29 to 507 of the family's 1533-position model. The record is from RNAcentral.